GAGUGUAUAGUUCAGUGGUAGAAUGCAUGCUUAGCAUGCGUGAGGUCCUGGGUUCAGUCCUCAGUACCUCCA
This 72-nucleotide transfer RNA is filed under the name Camelus bactrianus (Bactrian camel). It matches the Rfam family "tRNA". From Rfam's summary of the family: Transfer RNA (tRNA) molecules are approximately 80 nucleotides in length. Their secondary structure includes four short double-helical elements and three loops (D, anti-codon, and T loops). Lineage: Eukaryota; Metazoa; Chordata; Mammalia; Artiodactyla; Camelidae. The record is from Rfam by way of RNAcentral. RNAcentral also lists the same sequence under 2 other names.